AUUGAACGCUGGCGGCAUGCUUUACACAUGCAAGUCGAACGGCAGCGCGGGCUUCGCCCUUGCGGCGAGUGGCGAACGGGUGAGUAAUACAUCGGAACGUGCCCAGUAGUGGGGGAUAGCUCGGCGAAAGCCGGAUUAAUACCGCAUACGACCUGAGGGUGAAAGCGGGGGAUCUUCGGACCUCGCGCUAUUGGAGCGGCCGAUGGCAGAUUAGCUAGUUGGUGGGGUAAAGGCCUACCAAGGCGACGAUCUGUAGCUGGUCUGAGAGGACGACCAGCCACACUGGGACUGAGACACGGCCCAGACUCCUACGGGAGGCAGCAGUGGGGAAUAUUGGACAAUGGGCGAAAGCCUGAUCCAGCAAUGCCGCGUGUGUGAUGAAGGUCUUCGGGUUGUAAAGCACUUUUGGCGGGAAGGAAAAGGACUGUGCCAAUACCACGGUUCGAUGACGGUACCCGCAGAAUAAGCACCGGCUAACUACGUG
Molecule: ribosomal RNA, 484 nt
Filed under: uncultured bacterium
Lineage: Bacteria
Description: partial 16S ribosomal RNA
Rfam family: Bacterial small subunit ribosomal RNA
Source: RNAcentral